UGGAGUGAGAGAGUGGUUGUGGCGGAAUUCAGCUGCCCAGCUGGGUGAAACCACCCCACCUGCUAGCAGCACCCCAUCCAGAGCUGAACGCCCAAGGGGAGUGAAGAUGGCAUGGCUGUGGCCGGAGCUGUUCCUCAUUGCUCUCCUUUCUGCUUCCCUUGUGCUGGUGCUGAUGAUUCCCCAAAGCUGGGCUGGUACUAAAAGUUCACAAGCUGAGUGGGACAGACAGGCACGCUGCAGUGAAUUUUCCUGAAGGCAAACAGAGGUUUAUGGCCACUCUUGUGAGGGGAGCGGGCUCGGAGGUGGUGGCUGACUCCAGCAAGGGCUCUUUCUGAGGCGGCAGGAACUGCAAGAUGUUUCAGUUGCAGUCAGACUCGCAUGUGGGCAGACUUUAUGAAGUAAGUUUCCCUGACUCAGUGGAGUGAGAAUCUUCUCAUCAGAAAGAUUUUUCUUCAAGUUUAUCAGUCUACUUUUUAAAGUCAAGUUCGUUUGCA
Molecule: long non-coding RNA, 494 nt
Organism: Cygnus olor (mute swan)
Lineage: Eukaryota; Metazoa; Chordata; Aves; Anseriformes; Anatidae
Exons: 3
Source: RefSeq, a predicted model, not a curated record